AACGAACGCUGGCGGCGCGCUUAACACAUGCAAGUCGAACGAGAAUCCGGGGCAACCCGGUAGUAAAGUGGCAAACGGGUGAGGAAUACAUGGGUAACCUACCCUUGAGAAGGGAAUAACCCGCCGAAAGGUGAGCUAAUACCCUAUACGCUAUCUUUUUUUCGAAAAGGAUAGGAAAGCCGGGUCGAGGACCUGGUACUCAAGGAGGGGCUCAUGUCCUAUCAGCUUGUUGGUGGGGUAACGGCCUACCAAGGCUACGACGGGUAGCUGGUCUGAGAGGAUGAUCAGCCACACUGGCACUGAGAUACGGGCCAGACUCCUACGGGAGGCAGCAGUGAGGAAUAUUGCGCAAUGGGCGAAAGCCUGACGCAGCGACGCCGCGUGGGGGAUGAAGGUUUUCGGAUUGUAACCCCUUUCAUGAGGAAAGAUAAAGUGGGUAACCACUUAGACGGUACCUCAAGAAGAAGCCACGGCUAACUUCGUG
Molecule: ribosomal RNA, 484 nt
Filed under: uncultured bacterium
Lineage: Bacteria
Description: bacterial SSU rRNA
Rfam family: Bacterial small subunit ribosomal RNA
Source: RNAcentral